RNAcentral lists this ribosomal RNA (494 nucleotides) under uncultured bacterium. Its description in RNAcentral is "partial 16S ribosomal RNA". It matches the Rfam family "Bacterial small subunit ribosomal RNA", at positions 28 to 507 of the family's 1533-position model. The record is from RNAcentral.
GACGAACGCUGGCGGCGCGCUUAACACAUGCAAGUCGAACGGAAAGGCCUGCUUUCCCUUGUGGAUUGCGGGUACUCGAGUGGCGAACGGGUGAGUAACACGUGAGUGAUCUGCCCCCAACUUGGGUAUAAGCCUGGGAAACUGGGUCUAAUUCCCGAUAGGACUGCAGGGUGGUGCCUGUGGUGGAAAACGAUUUUCUAGUGGUUGGGGAUGAGCUCGCGGCCUACCAGCUUGUUGGUGGGGUAAUGGCCUACCAAGGCGGCGACGGGUAGCCGGCCUGAGAGGGUGGACGGCCACAUUGGGACUGAGAUACGGCCCAGACUCCGACGGGAGGCAGCAGUGGGGAAUAUUGCACAAUGGGCGGAAGCCUGAUGCAGCGACGCCGCGUGGGGGAUGACGGCCUUCGGGUUGUAAACUCCUUUCGACCGCGAGGAAGCCACCUGGUUGGAAGGGUGGUGACGGUAGUGGUAGAAGAAGCACCGGCUAACUACGUG